This 253-nucleotide ribosomal RNA is filed under the name uncultured bacterium. Its description in RNAcentral is "partial 16S ribosomal RNA". It matches the Rfam family "Bacterial small subunit ribosomal RNA", at positions 524 to 776 of the family's 1533-position model. The record is from RNAcentral.
UACAGAGGGUGCGAGCGUUAAUCGGAAUUACUGGGCGUAAAGCGCGCGUAGGCGGCUUUUCAAGUCGAUUGUGAAAUCCCCGGGCUUAACCUGGGAACUGCAGUCGAGACUGUCUAGCUAGAGUAUGGGAGAGGGAAGUGGAAUUUCAGGUGUAGCGGUGAAAUACGUAGAUAUCUGAAGGAACAUCAGUGGCGAAAGCGACUUCCUGGACCAAUACUGACGCUGAGGCGCGAAAGCUAGGGUAGCAAACGGG